RNAcentral lists this unclassified non-coding RNA (137 nucleotides) under soil metagenome. RNAcentral's name for it is "partial internal transcribed spacer 1". The record is from RNAcentral.
CAUUCAGUAGCCUCGCUACUUGUUUAUACCCUUGUUUUUUGCGUACUAUUGUUUCCUCGGCGGGCUUGCCUGCCGGUUGGACAAAACUAUAACCUUUUUAAAUCUUCAAUCAGCGUCUGAAUUAUACAUAAUAAUUA